CUUCACUCUGGAUGAUUCUAGAAUACUAGCCCCUUCUAUUGAAGUUGGAAGGAUUAUCUGCUCUAUCAGAAGGAUUACAGCCGGUUGAACAUAGAUCACAAUUUCCAUGUGCCAGAAAUCUCCAACUGGUGGUUUUGUAGAAUUUGGUGGGGUUGUUUCUUAAGAGGUUUAGUACUUAGGAGUUUCAAAAUAGUAUUUUAAUAGGAUCUGCUCCUUUCUAGGACUCCUAUGAGUUAUAAAUUCCUAGCCUUGAAGGGUGAUUGACAUUUUAGGAGUCACCAAGUCUAGCCUUUGUCCCCCUGUGAAAUAUUCUCUUCUGUAUUGUCCCUGACUCAUUCCACCUGGGGGGGUGGAUUCCUUCCAUACUUGGUGAGGCAUCCUGUUCUGUUGAUGGAGCCCUUGGUUAAAAGGAUCUUUUACCUUGAACCAGAAUUUGAUUCAUAUUUGUCCUAUUCCCCUGCUUUUAACCACAGUGAGUCUACUGGCAUUUGUAAUGGAUGACGUUUCAAGUAUGUGAAAGUAGCAUUCAUUCCUUGUUUCUGCUUUUCCACAUGAGCCCCCUCUCCCCUCAUUCUUCAGUGUUUCUCAACAGGCUAUAGUUUUUGGAUCCUUCAGCAUCUGGCUGAAAUUCCAUAGUAGAUCCAAAUGCAAAAUAAGCGUUUAACCAAUUAUCUUUUCUCUGAAUCUAUUGGCCUGGUGGAUAGGGAUGGACUGAAAGUGAUCAGAUGCUGUCAUCUUCGUGCGUUCAGUUCUCAUUUCCCUUUUACCAACAUUUGUUCUUCCACUUUAAAGAUGCUUAUGAUUUGUAGGGGAAGGAGCCAAAAUAUAAGUUGAAUGAGUCUACCUUCUGUCAGUCUUCUAUCAUUUUCUCCAAAUGUGGCUUUAACCCAUCCUGCAUGGGGAUGACAGUACAGGCAGAACUUGGUUCUUGGGAGCAAGGAAAGUUGAUAUUAAAAUCAUUUGUGGCCCUCCAGAAUACAGUCCUACCCAACCAAAUCUUAGUGUUUAAUUUCUCUUGCUCAAAUCAUUAAAAAUCAUUAAGAAACUGCUUUAAGCCUAAGUGUCUGUACCAAAGUGCUAAAA
This 1083-nucleotide long non-coding RNA is filed under the name Marmota monax (woodchuck). The record is from RNAcentral. Lineage: Eukaryota; Metazoa; Chordata; Mammalia; Rodentia; Sciuridae.